GACAGGAUAACCGCUGAAGGCAUCUAAGCGGGAAGCCCCCCUCAAAACAAGGUAUCCCUGAGGGCCGUGGUAGACCACCACGUCGAUAGGCCGGAGAUGUAAGCGCAGCAAUGCGUUCAGUUGACCGGUACUAAUCGCCCGAUAGGCUUGAUUUGAUCCAG
This 161-nucleotide ribosomal RNA is filed under the name Henriciella sp. RNAcentral's name for it is "partial 23S ribosomal RNA". It matches the Rfam family "Bacterial large subunit ribosomal RNA", at positions 2758 to 2925 of the family's 2925-position model. Lineage: Bacteria; Pseudomonadati; Pseudomonadota; Alphaproteobacteria; Hyphomonadales; Hyphomonadaceae. The record is from RNAcentral.